CGUCAUCGUCUCUGCAGCAGCGUCAGAUCUUAACGUUCACAACAUUCACUGACGAGUCCCAUUCAGUCCACUUCAGUGCCGAGGACACGUCUGAUUGGCCGCAGCUGUGUGUGUGACAUCAUGUCUCGCCAACUUGUCUGCGUUUGCUUCGUUGCCGUCGCCCUGUGGUCAGUGUCUGUGCUCAGUGUGUCAGUCUUCUCAGAUCCAUCUCAUGCUCACAUGUUGCUUCGUUCUCGUCGAGCGAACUCAUUCCUGGAGGAGCUGAAACCUGCUUCCAUGGAGCGUGAAUGUGUGGAGGAGAAGUGUGACUUUGAAGAAGCCCAAGAGAUUUUCCACACGAGAGAAGCCACACUGGAGUUCUGGACAGUUUACACAGGUG
This is a long non-coding RNA of Solea senegalensis (Senegalese sole), 379 nucleotides long. RefSeq lists it as uncharacterized. NCBI's taxonomy places the organism in Eukaryota, Metazoa, Chordata, Actinopteri, Pleuronectiformes, Soleidae. The transcript is spliced from 4 exons. The record is from RefSeq and is a predicted model, not a curated record.